Molecule: ribosomal RNA, 466 nt
Filed under: uncultured bacterium
Lineage: Bacteria
Description: partial 16S ribosomal RNA
Rfam family: Bacterial small subunit ribosomal RNA
Source: RNAcentral
GAUGAACGCUGGCGGCGUGCUUAACACAUGCAAGUCGAACGAUGAAGCCCAGCUUGCUGGGUGGAUUAGUGGCGAACGGGUGAGUAACACGUGAGUAACCUGCCCUUGACUCUGGGAUAAGCCUGGGAAACUGGGUCUAAUACUGGAUAUGACUUCUCAUCGCAUGGUGGGGGGUGGAAAGAUUUAUUGGUCUUGGAUGGACUCGCGGCCUAUCAGCUUGUUGGUGAGGUAAUGGCUCACCAAGGCGACGACGGGUAGCCGGCCUGAGAGGGUGACCGGCCACACUGGGACUGAGACACGGCCCAGACUCCUACGGGAGGCAGCAGUGGGGAAUAUUGCACAAUGGGCGCAAGCCUGAGGCAGCGACGCCGCGUGAGGGAUGACGGCCUUCGGGUUGUAAACCUCUUUCAGUAGGGAAGAAGCGAGAGUGACGGUACCUGCAGAAGAAGCGCCGGCUAACUACGUG